Molecule: non-coding RNA, 223 nt
Organism: Candidatus Thiomargarita nelsonii
Lineage: Bacteria; Pseudomonadati; Pseudomonadota; Gammaproteobacteria; Thiotrichales; Thiotrichaceae
Source: Rfam
AUAGUUCCUAAAUCUAUAGAAUAAUAUUCUAAAACUAGAAAUUUAUUAAUAGACAUGGAACUAACAGUGGGCUACUCUCGUUAGUAGCAGAAGUUAGAUAGGCCAUCACACCUACUGAUGUGAUUCCAGUUGGUAGCUCUGUGGUCUAACAUUAAGGGUAGUGGAAACAUGAAAGUGUGUUAGAUGUAAAAAACCUAUUUAACAAUCACGAGGAGUAUUUCAC